Dasypus novemcinctus (nine-banded armadillo) is the source of this 3323-nucleotide long non-coding RNA. The record is from Ensembl. NCBI's taxonomy places the organism in Eukaryota, Metazoa, Chordata, Mammalia, Cingulata, Dasypodidae.
AGGAGCCUUCCUUUUCCAUCUUCUGAGGAACCCCCCCCCGCCGCCGUGGUCCCUUUUAUUUUCCAGGUCUUUCCUGCCAGAUCCCUCUUUCGCCAGGGACGGCUCUGUCGUUGCCUUCCUCUCUCUAGCCUGCCGGGCUCAGCCUCCCUCUCCCCUUCCCCAUCCAGCCUGGACACCCCUCAACCUCCCUGGCCCUCCCUACCCCCAGCCUGCGCCACCCCCACCCCCACGCUUUGGCAAUUUUUUUUUUUUUUUUUGCUGCGAGCCUUGUUUACCCAGCAGGUGGAUGUGACGUCAGGGACGCACAACAGCAAAAAUAACAACAUCUCCUUCCGCGACGUGUCGGCCUCUCGCGCUCGCCUUAUUUAUUUAUUUGUUCCGGGAGGCCGGGGAGGGGGGGCCGGGCGGAAUGCGAACAGACUGAGUGGGCAGGAGAGCGGGGAGGGCUCGCGCGCCGGGGGUGCUGAGGGAGCUUGGGGGUGCUCGAGGCAGAGAGGGACCCCCGGCAGGAAGCCGGGGAACAGCCGCAGGGCGCCCCCAACGCGGCGCUGCCUGCGUCUGUGCCGCCGCCGCCGGCCGGGCUCCGGGAAGCUAGUCCCGAGCGGAGGAAUCUAUUGUUAUUUAUUGUGUGGCGGUUGCAUGCUGUACUCGCGGCGGCCCGGCCCUCGCCCGGAGUGCUGGUGUGCGCGCGUGUGUGCGCGAGUGAGUGUGUGCGCGGGGGUGCGCGCGCGGGCGGGAGUGGGCGCGCGCGGGGAAAGGCCCGAAAACACCUUAGUUUGCACCGAGAGACCAUUUGCAGCGGUGUUCCAGGAGCUUUCGCUGACAAACAUUCCAGUUUCCAAACGAAUCAUUUGGGCAAUGGUGAUCCCUUCUCCAGUCUGCUGUCGGCCAUGAAUGGAUGGAUGUGAUGCCUGCUAGCCGAAAGGGUGAGUGAAUGCUUACGAUUAUUUGUCUGAAAGCCACAGGAAAAAAGUUUGCUGAAAGGGUCCCCCACAGUGCAAGAAACAUAAAAUCCUGAGCCCCUACAGAUAAUUGUCCAUUGAUGAUGAAAGAUGCUUGUUUUGAAAGAAGGAACCCACUCAUCAUUGUUUUCUGGUAUAACCUUUUUCGACAACGGAUAGAGUGAUCUGAGGGUUUAUAAAAGGUGUACUAUGACAUAGCAGAACUUUUUUCGUUUACUUGUUCUUUUCAAUCAUACAUGGAAGGCUUUUUAUGUUACAACUUGGUGAUAAAUAAUAGUACCACCAUGAAAUAAGACUAUAAUUAUCUCAUCUUGAGUGUUUGGGUAAUAUUUAAGUCUGAUUUAUUGAUUGAGAAGAUUCCAUCCCAAGCCUUCCACGUUAUUAGCGCUCUUUUAAAAAUCAAAGGGUUGGAAACUUUGAGCUCUGAAAGAUUUUCUGAAAGACUUUUGGGCAUAUGUUUUUCCUGUAUCAUAGUUUACCUCAUUAGAAUAUUCAUAAUUCAUAAUUUUAGGGGCAUUUAGAAGGGGCAUGAUCAUCUUUUUUCACUUAUGUGUAUUUUCUAUAUUAAUCUAGUGUCUUUUGUGUUCCUCAGAAAUUGUUAGGCCCCCUUUAGCUAUGAAUGAAUAAUUAUAACUUGCUGUUGUCAGUGACCAAUGAUUGGUUGAGGCCAGGUGUUUUAUGUAAAAACUCUGACAUCAUUCCAUGGUAGUUUGCUCAGAGAAUGAGGUCAACUUAUGGGGAGCCAUUUACUUUUUUGUAUUGGAUGGCAUUUAAUGGGAAAAGACCAUUGGCAUAAAUUCAUCUUAUUUGCCCUAGUGGCAUUGUAAUAGAAAUAGAUUUUAUUUAAUGGAGGGAAGUGUAAUGAAGGAAGAAGAGCACUGAAUUGGGAAUUGGAAGACCUAACAGUUAUCUAGCAUGGGGCAAGUUAGUCUCUCUUUGGUUUGGUUUCCUCUGUUUAAAAAAAGCCAGGUGGGUUAGAGAAUUCCUUCCUGUCAGGGCUAACACCACUCUGGAAAUUAACUAUUUAAAUCCUUUCAUUUUACAAACGAAGCAACUGAGACUGAUAGAAUCUAAUCGAAAAUGGGGAAUUUUAGAAUUGUUACAGGUCUUCGAUCAUCAUACCGGAUGGUCUUGGCUAGUCCUUCGGUUUUCUCACCUAUGAAGUCCUCCUCAGGAUUUUCCAUCGUUCUGAAGCUAUGAUAGACUUUAGUGAAUGAUCUGUGGGUAGUGAGCAGAUAGUAUGUUAAGAAAUAGUUCAUAUUUGGGGAGCAGAGUUGAGUUGAAAAGAAAGUCUGGUAGACAUAAGAAUUCAUAGAAGUGGUUGGAAUUUGGAAGGUAUUGAAAUAGCAACAAACUCAGGUUUUAGGUUACCUGUCAUUUCUGUCUUCAGUAUUGAGAGAGUCUGACUCAAUCUCACGGUCAUAAAAUUGAUGUAUGAAAUUUAGCAAAACCACAUGAAUGGAUUUAUUGAAGACUAUGCUUAUUUUAUUCAUUAAUUUCAAUUGGGUAAGGCCCAGUGUUUGAAAAAUCAAUCUAAAGAACUAUAAGGAAAAUGUUAUCUCUUUUGAAUUGCUAAAAAGUAUUCUUAGGUUGGCCCAGUGGUUAGGGCGUCCGUCUACCACAUGGGAGGUCCGCGGUUCAAACCCCGGGCCUCCUUGACCCGUGUGGAGCUGGCCAUGCGCAGUGCUGAUGCGCGCAAGGAGUGCCAUGCCACGCAGGGGUGUCCCCCGCGUAGGGGAGCCCCACGCGCAAGGAGUGCGCCCGUGAGGAAAGCUGCCCAGCGUGAAAAGAAAGUGCAGCCUGCCCAGGAAUGGCACCGCCCACACUUCCCGUGCCGCUGACGACAACAGAAGCGGACAAAGAAACAAGAUGCAGCAAAUAGACACCAAGAACAGACAACCAGGGGAGGGGGGGGGGGAAUUAAAUAAAUAAAUAAAUCUUUAAAAAAAAAAAAAAAAAAAAAAGUAUUCUUAGGCCCAGUUGCAUACCAUUUUCUUUUAAAUAAGGAAGUGUUUUAUAUUUAUCAGAUUGUAAUAAACUUUCCUUUGCUGUGUUUUUAGUAGGAAGUAGGUAUACAAAAUCUGAUGAGUUGGUGCAUGUGUUCUGAUUUUUUCUCCUCCUCAGUUUUCCUCAGGGCACACCUCCAAGGUUGACUCAAAGCCAUAAUUCUCUCCCUCCCUUCUUCUCCUUGUAGGUGAUGUAAUAACCUGGCCUUCCAUGUAUUAUGUAUCUGAUAGCUAGUUAGCUAUUCCAUUGUCAAAAAUUCAUUCAUCAUAGGGUUUCUGUUUGGGGUAACGAAAAAGUUUUGGUAAUGGAUGUUGGCAGGGGUCAUAUAACAUUGUGAAAGUAAUUAAUGCCACU